RNAcentral lists this ribosomal RNA (579 nucleotides) under Chelonibia testudinaria. RNAcentral's name for it is "eukaryotic LSU rRNA". It matches the Rfam family "Eukaryotic large subunit ribosomal RNA", at positions 1018 to 1573 of the family's 3401-position model. Lineage: Eukaryota; Metazoa; Arthropoda; Thecostraca; Balanomorpha; Chelonibiidae. The record is from RNAcentral.
UGAUCAGAGGAGCUGGGCUCCUUGCGAGCUCAACCUAUUCUCAAACUUUCAAUGGGUGAGACGUCUCGCUGGCUUCACUGCAGCGACGACUCUGAAUCCGAGUGCCCAGUGGGCCACUUUUGGUAAGCAGAACUGGCGAUGCGGGAUGAACCGCAUGUCGAGUUAAGGUGCCUAAGCGGACGCAAAUCAGAUACCAUGAAAGGUGUUGAUUGCUCACGACAGCAGGACGGUGGCCAUGGAAGUCGGCAUCCGCUAAGGAGUGUGUAACAACUCACCUGCCGAAGCAAUCAGCCCUGAAAAUGGAUGGCGCUAAAGCGUUCCACCGAUACUCGACCGUCGUCGGCACGCGACCGGCCUUCCCAGUGCCGGUCUCAGGCCACGACGAGUAGGGCGGCGCGGCGGUGAGCGUCGAAGGCGUAGCCGUGAGGCUAGCUGGAGCCGCCGUCGGUGCAGAUCUUGGUGGUAGUAGCAAAUACACAAGCAAGAUCCUUGUGGACCGAUGUGGAGAAGGGUUCCGCGCGAACAGUACUUGGACGUGGGUGAGUCGGCCCUAAGCCAACGGGUAAUUCCCGCAUCCCG